RNAcentral lists this ribosomal RNA (426 nucleotides) under Triticum aestivum (bread wheat). Its description in RNAcentral is "partial small subunit ribosomal RNA". Lineage: Eukaryota; Viridiplantae; Streptophyta; Magnoliopsida; Poales; Poaceae. The record is from RNAcentral.
AUGCUCAAGGAGCAGCAGAGGAGCAUUGUGCUGCGCCGGAAGUUCAGCGUGGCGUCCAUUCCGUCGGCGGCGAGGCGGGUGCGCCAGGUGAGCGGUGACGACAAGAAGGCACACGCGCCGCCGAUCUUUUUUGUGUCGGCUAACACCGUGAAGAUGAGCGCUGGAGGCGGCGCCACCCCCUAUCUAAAGAGGGACACUUUUGUCGGGCUGUGGAUGGCGGCAGCGUUCCUGGCGGCCUGCGGCAUCUGCCGCAAACCCCUCGCCGGCGAAGACGCCUACAUUUACAGGGGUGAAUUUGCAUUCUGCAGCGAUGAGUGCAGGGAGUUGUACAUCAAAUGGAAAAGGGCGUGCUCCCUCAGAUCCCGCGGAAAGGCCCCAUCGAAGAAGUCCAGAAGCAGCGGGGGCUCGUGCGGCGGGCCAGGCUAA